UCAUUGAAGAAUAACAGAAAGUAAAAAAAAUGACUAAUAUACAUAAAUUUAUUAUAGCAGUCUUCGUUGCGGCUCUUCUAUGCUCAACAGGUACGGCCAAAAUUCAACUUCAACUUCUUACAGUGAAAUGUUUUGGUGCUUGUAACCUAUAUCAUGAUUGUAAUUCAUACUGCAUUGGUCAAGGCUAUGUGUUGGGGGAUUGUAUUCCAAAAGAAAAUAAAACUUGUUGUUGUUACACAUAUUAAUAUUUGAAGCUAUAGAUUUUCUUCUUGUUUGAAGAAAACAUAAUGUUUUAUAAAUAUAUGUAAGUUUCAUUAUAAGGAAAUAAAACAUGAAAUGUUAUCAUAAA
Non-coding RNA from Cicer arietinum (chickpea), 349 nucleotides. The record is from RefSeq and is a predicted model, not a curated record. NCBI's taxonomy places the organism in Eukaryota, Viridiplantae, Streptophyta, Magnoliopsida, Fabales, Fabaceae.